GACGAACGCUGGCGGCGUGCCUAAUACAUGCAAGUAGAACGCACAGUUUAUACCGUAGCUUGCUACACCAUAGACUGUGAGUUGCGAACGGGUGAGUAACGCGUAGGUAACCUGCCUGGUAGCGGGGGAUAACUAUUGGAAACGAGAGCUAAUACCGCAUAAUAUUGAUUAUUGCAUGAUAAUUGAUUGAAAGAUGCUAUUGCAUCACUACCAGAUGGACCUGCGUUGUAUUAGCUAGUAGGUGAGGUAACGGCUCACCUAGGGGAAGAUACAUAGCCGACCUGGGGGGGUGCUCGGCCACACUGGGACCGAGGCACGGCCCAGAACCCUUCGGGGAGCCACCGUAGGGAAACUUCGGCAAAGGGCGGAAGUCUGGCCGAACAACGCCGGGUGGGUGGAGGAGGUUUUCGGAUCGUAAAGCUCUGUUGUAAGGGAAGAACGAGUUGGGGAGUGGAAAGUGCACACUGUGACGGUAUCUUAACAGAAAGGGACGGCUAACUACGUG
Molecule: ribosomal RNA, 505 nt
Filed under: uncultured bacterium
Lineage: Bacteria
Description: partial 16S ribosomal RNA
Rfam family: Bacterial small subunit ribosomal RNA
Source: RNAcentral